This 32-nucleotide non-coding RNA is filed under the name Mus musculus (house mouse). The record is from RNAcentral. RNAcentral also lists the same sequence under 1 other name. Lineage: Eukaryota; Metazoa; Chordata; Mammalia; Rodentia; Muridae.
AACAAGGUUUCCGUAGGUGAACCUGCGGAAGG